This 482-nucleotide ribosomal RNA is filed under the name uncultured bacterium. Its description in RNAcentral is "partial 16S ribosomal RNA". It matches the Rfam family "Bacterial small subunit ribosomal RNA", at positions 355 to 828 of the family's 1533-position model. The record is from RNAcentral.
UGGGGAAUAUUGCACAAUGGGCGCAAGCCUGAUGCAGCCAUGCCGCGUGUGUGAAGAAGGCCUUCGGGUUGUAAAGCACUUUCAGCGAGGAGGAAGGUGGUGAGCUUAAUACGCUCAUCAAUUGACGUUACUCGCAGAAGAAGCACCGGCUAACUCCGUGCCAGCAGCCGCGGUAAUACGGAGGGUGCAAGCGUUAAUCGGAAUUACUGGGCGUAAAGCGCACGCAGGCGGUUUGUUAAGUCAGAUGUGAAAUCCCCGGGCUCAACCUGGGAACUGCAUUUGAAACUGGCAAGCUAGAGUCUCGUAGAGGGGGGUAGAAUUCCAGGUGUAGCGGUGAAAUGCGUAGAGAUCUGGAGGAAUACCGGUGGCGAAGGCGGCCCCCUGGACGAAGACUGACGCUCAGGUGCGAAAGCGUGGGGCAGCAAACAGGAUUAGAUACCCUGGUAGUCCACGCUGUAAACGAUGUCGAUUUGGAGGUUGUG